GGCUGAGUAACACGUGGGCAACCUGCCCCCUCCACCGGGACAGCCUCGGGAAACCGUGGGUAAUACCGGAUACUCCGGGACGGCCGCAUGGCCGGCCCGGGAAAGCCCAGACGGGAGGGGAUGGGCCCGCGGCCUGUUAGCUAGUCGGCGGGGUAACGGCCCACCGAGGCGAUUAUGGGUAGCCGGGUUGAGAGACCGACCGGCCAGAUUGGGACUGAGACACGGCCCAGACUCCUACGGGAGGCAGCAGUGGGGAAUCUUGCGCAAUGGGCGGAAGCCUGACGCAGCGACGCCGCGUGCGGGACGAAGGCCUUCGGGUCGUAAGCCGCUUUCAGCAGGGACGAGGCCCUCACGGUGACGGUACCUGCAGAAGAAGCCCCGGCUAACUACGUGCCAGCAGCCGCGGUAAUACGUAGGGGGCGAGCGUUAUCCGGAUUCAUUGGGCGUAAAGCGCGCGUAGGCGGCCUGUUAGGUCGGGGGUCAAAUACCGGGGCUCAACCCCGGUCCGCCCCCGAUACCGGCAGGCUUGAGUCUGGUAGGGGAAGGCGGAAUUCCCAGUGUAGCGGUGGAAUGCGCAGAUAUUGGGAAGAACACCGGCGGCGAAGGCGGCCUUCUGGGCCACGACUGACGCUGAGGCGCGAAAGCUAGGGGAGCGAACAGGAUUAGAUACCCUGGUAGUCCUAGCCGUAAACGAAG
This 696-nucleotide ribosomal RNA is filed under the name uncultured bacterium. Its description in RNAcentral is "bacterial SSU rRNA". It matches the Rfam family "Bacterial small subunit ribosomal RNA", at positions 104 to 811 of the family's 1533-position model. The record is from RNAcentral.